GACGAACGCUGGCGGCGUGCUUAAUACAUGCAAGUCGAACGGAAAGGCCAUGCUCUUGCUGGUUGCUCGAGUGGCGAACAGGUGAGAAACACGUGUGUAACCUGUCCCUGACAUUGGGGUAAAUUCAGGAAACUCGGGCUCAUAUACGAUAUGAGCUCCUGCUGCACGGUGGGGGUUGGAAAGAUUCGGCGUUUUGGGAUGGACUCGCGGGUUAUCAGCUUGUUGGUGGGGUAGUGGCUUACCAAGGCUUUGACGGGUAGCCGGCCUGAGAGGGUGACCGGCCACAUUGGGACUGAGAUACGGCCCAGACGCCUACGGGAGGCAGCGGUGGGGAAUAUUGCGCAAUGGGCGGAAGCCUGAUGCAGCGACGCCGCGUGCGGGAUGACGGCCUUCGGGUUAUAAACCGCUUUCGACUGUGACGAAGCGUGAGUGACGGUAAUGGGUAAAGAAGCACCGGCUAACUACGUG
RNAcentral lists this ribosomal RNA (468 nucleotides) under uncultured bacterium. Its description in RNAcentral is "partial 16S ribosomal RNA". It matches the Rfam family "Bacterial small subunit ribosomal RNA", at positions 28 to 507 of the family's 1533-position model. The record is from RNAcentral.